This 1336-nucleotide ribosomal RNA is filed under the name Chaeteessa sp. 1 JMR-2016. RNAcentral describes it as "eukaryotic LSU rRNA". It matches the Rfam family "Eukaryotic large subunit ribosomal RNA", at positions 714 to 1883 of the family's 3401-position model. Lineage: Eukaryota; Metazoa; Arthropoda; Insecta; Mantodea; Chaeteessidae. The record is from RNAcentral.
GCSAAUGAAAGUGGGGUGGAUCUCCCCCUCCUCGGAGGGGGGGCCGCCGAUGGGGAGGAUGGCCCGGCUUCCGAAAGACGGAAGACAAAACCGGGCCCGCACUCCCGGGGCGCCCCGGCCUCGGCCGCGGGCGCACUCGGAGCGUACAUGUUGGGACCCGAAAGAUGGUGAACUAUGCCUGGCCAGGACGAAGUCAGGGGAAACCCUGAUGGAGGUCCGCAGCGAUUCUGACGUGCAAAUCGAUCGUCAGAGCUGGGUAUAGGGGCGAAAGACUAAUCGAACCAUCUAGUAGCUGGUUCCCUCCGAAGUUUCCCUCAGGAUAGCUGGCGCCCGCUUGGAAGGUUCUCGAGUCUCAUCCGGUAAAGCGAAUGAUUAGAGGCCUUGGGGCCGAAACGACCUCAACCUAUUCUCAAACUUUAAAUGGGUGAGAGCUGCGGCUUGCUUGAACGAAGCCGGUUGGACGAGAGGAUCAGGGUGCCAAGUGGGCCAUUUUUGGUAAGCAGAACUGGCGCUGUGGGAUGAACCAAACGCCGGGUUAAGGCGCCCAAAUCGGAGCUCAUGGGAGACCAUGAAAGGCGUUGGUUGCUUAAGACAGCAGGACGGUGGCCAUGGAAGUCGGAAUCCGCUAAGGAGUGUGUAACAACUCACCUGCCGAAGCAACUAGCCCUGAAAAUGGAUGGCGCUGAAGCUCCGUGCCUAUACCCGGCCGCCGGAAGGCAUAGGCGCCGACCGAGGGUCUUUCACUUCGGUGGGGGAUUCGAGGCGGUAGCGUGAGGCCCCGGUGAGUAGGAGGGCGCGGCGGUGUGCGUGGAAGGGUCUGGGCGUGAGCCUGCCUGGAGCCGCCGUCGGUGCAGAUCUUGGUGGUAGUAGCAAAUACUCAAGCGAGGGCCUUGAGGACUGAUGUGGAGAAGGGUUUCGUGUGAACAGCCGUUGCACACGAGUCAGUCGAUCCUAAGCCCUAGGGGAAACCCGAUGUCGAUGCGGGGGGAAUAAAGAGAGACCCCUCCCGCGACGGGCGAAAGGGAAUCCGGUUCCUAUUCCGGAACCCGGCAGCGGAACCGACCUUCGGGCCCUAGUAAUAGGAGCUCGUCGGGGUAACCCAAAGAGACCCGGUGCCGCCGACGGGAGACCCGGGCAGAGUUUUCUGUUCUGCAUAAGCGUUCGAGUUCCCUGGAAUCCUCCAGCAGGGAGAUAGGGUUUGGAACGCGAAGAGCACCGCAGUUGCGGCGGUGUCCGGGUCGCCCCCUCGGACCAUGAAAACCCGGGAGAGGGCCACGCGGAGGCGUCGCGCCGGAUCGUACCCAUAUCCGCAGCAGGUCUCCAAGGUUAAGAGCCU